Cyclopterus lumpus (lumpfish) is the source of this 350-nucleotide long non-coding RNA. RefSeq lists it as uncharacterized. The transcript has 3 exons. Lineage: Eukaryota; Metazoa; Chordata; Actinopteri; Perciformes; Cyclopteridae. The record is from RefSeq and is a predicted model, not a curated record.
AUGGUGUCUGAGGAAAAGGAGAUGAGGCAACAACGGAGUGAAAUAGAGAGGCAAGGCUGCAUGUCAGGAGGGAAAGCACUAACUCCAGAGUGAAGAAGAGGGGACGGGGAGGAGGAAUCAAGUUGGAAACGAGAAAGAAACACGGGAAAAGUUGGCCUCUGCUUCAUGUCUGAGGAACAUCUGCCACACUCUGCAAGGCAGUGAUCUCAAGCUCUGAGCGUUGGUGAUGCAGCCCUGCAGAGACAAAAGAUGAGCAGCUGUUUAGAUGUUGGUGUUCGUCAGGCAGGUAGAGAGCAGGAAAAUGGAAUCAAUACUAUUGUCUGUAACCUACCUGCCGCUGGGCUCUCUGU